GAUGAAGAACGUAGCGAAAUGCGAUAAGUAAUGCGAAUUGCAGAAUUCAGUGAGUCAUCGAAUCUUUGAACGCACAUUGCGCCCCUUGGUAUUCCAUGGGGCAUGCCUGUUCGAGCGUCAUUUGUACCUUCAAGCCUUGCUUGGUGUUGGGUGUUUGUCUCGCCUCUGCGCGCAGACUCGCCUCAAAACAAUUGGCAGCCGGCGUAUUGAUUUCGGAGCGCAGUACAUCUCGCGCUUUGCACUCAGAACGACGACGUCCAAAAGUACAUUUUUACACUCUUGACCUCGGAUCAGGUAGGGAUACCCGCUGAACUUAAGCAUAUCAAUAAGCGGAGGA
RNAcentral lists this unclassified non-coding RNA (337 nucleotides) under soil metagenome. RNAcentral's name for it is "partial contains 5.8S ribosomal RNA, internal transcribed spacer 2, and large subunit ribosomal RNA". The stretch from base 1 to 120 matches the Rfam family "5.8S ribosomal RNA", at positions 35 to 154 of the family's 154-position model. The record is from RNAcentral.